GACGAACGCUGGCGGCGUGCUUAACACAUGCAAGUCGAGCGGUAAGGCCCUUUCGGGGGUACACGAGCGGCGAACGGGUGAGUAACACGUGGGUGACCUGCCCUCAGCUCUGGGAUAAGCCUGGGGAAACCGGGUCUAAUACCGGAUAUGACUCCAUGACGCAUGUUGUGGGGUGGAAAGCCUUGUGCGGCUGAGGAGUGGGCCCGCGGCCUAUCAGCUUGUUGGUGGGGUGAUGGCCUACCAAGGCGACGACGGGUAGCCGGCCUGAGAGGGCGACCGGCCACACUGGGACUGAGACA
RNAcentral lists this ribosomal RNA (299 nucleotides) under uncultured bacterium. Its description in RNAcentral is "partial 16S ribosomal RNA". It matches the Rfam family "Bacterial small subunit ribosomal RNA", at positions 28 to 326 of the family's 1533-position model. The record is from RNAcentral.